AGAGUUUGAUCAUGGCUCAGGAUGAACGCUGGCGGCGUGCCUAAUACAUGCAAGUCGAACGAGUCUUCGGACUAGUGGCGAACGGGUGAGUAACACGUUGGUACCUGCCCCGAAGUGGGGAAUAACUGCCCGAAAGGGUGGCUAAUACCGCAUAAUACCGCAAGGUUAAAGCAGUAAUGCGCUUCGGGAGGGGCCUGCGUCUGAUUAGCUAGUUGGUGGGGUAACUGCCCACCAAGGCGACGAUCAGUAGCUGGAUCGAGAGGUUGACCAGCCACACUGGGACUGAGAUACGGCCCAGACUCCUACGGGAGGCAGCAGUAAGGAAUCUUCCACAAUGGACGAAAGUCUGAUGGAGCAACGCCGCGUGCAGGAUGACGGCCUUCGGGUUGUAAACUGCUUUUAUAUGGGAAGAUUGUGACGGUACCAUAUGAAUAAGGACCGGCUAACUACGUGCCAGCAGCCGCGGUAAUACGUAGGGUCCAAGCGUUAUCCGGAAUCACUGGGCGUAAAGCGUGCGUAGGUGGUUUGUUAAGUGUGAUGUUAAAUCGUGGGGCUCAACCCCGUCGAUGCAUCACAUACUGGCAGACUAGAGGACGGCAGAGGCAAGUGGAAUUGGUAGUGUAGCAGUGAAAUGCGUAGAUAUUACCAGGAACACCAAUGGCGAAGGCAGCUUGCUGGGCCACUCCUGACACUGAGGUACGAAAGCGUGGGGAGCGAACAGGAUUAGAUACCCUAGUAGUCC
This 742-nucleotide ribosomal RNA is filed under the name uncultured bacterium. RNAcentral describes it as "bacterial SSU rRNA". It matches the Rfam family "Bacterial small subunit ribosomal RNA", at positions 8 to 796 of the family's 1533-position model. The record is from RNAcentral.